ACGGGUGAGUAAUGCCUAGGAAUCUGCCUGGUAGUGGGGGACAACGUCUCGAAAGGGACGCUAAUACCGCAUACGUCCUACGGGAGAAAGCAGGGGACCUUCGGGCCUUGCGCUAUCAGAUGAGCCUAGGUCGGAUUAGCUAGUUGGUGAGGUAAUGGCUCACCAAGGCGACGAUCCGUAACUGGUCUGAGAGGAUGAUCAGUCACACUGGAACUGAGACACGGUCCAGACUCCUACGGGAGGCAGCAGUGGGGAAUAUUGGACAAUGGGCGAAAGCCUGAUCCAGCCAUGCCGCGUGUGUGAAGAAGGUCUUCGGAUUGUAAAGCACUUUAAGUUGGGAGGAAGGGCAGUAAAUUAAUACUUUGCUGUUUUGACGUUACCGACAGAAUAAGCACCGGCUAACUCUGUGCCAGCAGCCGCGGUAAUACAGAGGGUGCAAGCGUUAAUCGGAAUUACUGGGCGUAAAGCGCGCGUAGGUGGUUUGUUAAGUUGGAUGUGAAAGCCCCGGGCUCAACCUGGGAACUGCAUUCAAAACUGACAAGCUAGAGUAUGGUAGAGGGUGGUGGAAUUUCCUGUGUAGCGGUG
Molecule: ribosomal RNA, 585 nt
Filed under: Pseudomonas sp. StFRB234
Lineage: Bacteria; Pseudomonadati; Pseudomonadota; Gammaproteobacteria; Pseudomonadales; Pseudomonadaceae
Also listed under: 1 other name
Description: bacterial SSU rRNA
Rfam family: Bacterial small subunit ribosomal RNA
Source: RNAcentral